GAUGAACGCUGGCGGCGUGCCUAAUACAUGCAAGUCGAGCGAACGGACGAGAAGCUUGCUUCUCUGACGUUAGCGGCGGACGGGUGAGUAACACGUGGAUAACCUACCUAUAAGACUGGGAUAACUUCGGGAAACCGGAGCUAAUACCGGAUAAUAUUUUGAACCGCAUGGUUCAAUAGUGAAAGACGGUCUUGCUGUCACUUAUAGAUGGAUCCGCGCUGCAUUAGCUAGUUGGUAAGGUAACGGCUUACCAAGGCAACGAUGCAUAGCCGACCUGAGAGGGUGAUCGGCCACACUGGAACUGAGACACGGUCCAGACUCCUACGGGAGGCAGCAGUAGGGAAUCUUCCGCAAUGGGCGAAAGCCUGACGGAGCAACGCCGCGUGAGUGAUGAAGGUCUUCGGAUCGUAAAACUCUGUUAUUAGGGAAGAACAAAUGUGUAAGUAACUAUGCACAUCUUGACGGUACCUAAUCAGAAAGCCACGGCUAACUACGUG
RNAcentral lists this ribosomal RNA (497 nucleotides) under uncultured bacterium. RNAcentral describes it as "partial 16S ribosomal RNA". It matches the Rfam family "Bacterial small subunit ribosomal RNA", at positions 28 to 507 of the family's 1533-position model. The record is from RNAcentral.